GCCGGGCAUGGUGGUGUGUGCCUGUAAUCCCAGCUACCUGGGAGGCUGAGGCAGAAGAAUCGCUUGAACCCAGGAGGUGGAGGCUGCAGUGAGCCGAGAUCGUGCCAUUGCACUACAGCCUGGGUGACAGAGUGAGACUCUGUCUCUA
RNAcentral lists this non-coding RNA (148 nucleotides) under Pan paniscus (pygmy chimpanzee). RNAcentral also lists the same sequence under 1 other name. The record is from Rfam by way of RNAcentral. Lineage: Eukaryota; Metazoa; Chordata; Mammalia; Primates; Hominidae.